AGUGAACGCUGGCGGUAGGCCUAACACAUGCAAGUCGAACGGCAGCACAGUAAGAGCUUGCUCUUACGGGUGGCGAGUGGCGGACGGGUGAGGAAUACAUCGGAAUCUACUUUUUCGUGGGGGAUAACGUGGGGAAACUUACGCUAAUACCGCAUACGACCUACGGGUGAAAGCAGGAGAUCUUCGGACCUUGCGCGAUUGAAUGAGCCGAUGUCGGAUUAGCUAGUUGGCGGGGUAAAGGCUCACCAAGGCGACGAUGCGUAGCUGAUCUGAGAGGAUGAUCAGCCACACUGGAACUGAGACACGGUCCAGACUCCUACGGGAGGCAGCAGUGGGGAAUAUUGGACAAUGGGCGCAAGCCUGAUCCAGCCAUACCGCGUGGGUGAAGAAGGCCUUCGGGUUGUAAAGCCCUGUUGUUGGGAAAGAAAAGCAGCAGGUUAAUACCCCGCUGUUCUGACGGUACCCAAAGAAUAAGCACCGGCUAACUUCGUG
This 492-nucleotide ribosomal RNA is filed under the name uncultured bacterium. RNAcentral describes it as "partial 16S ribosomal RNA". It matches the Rfam family "Bacterial small subunit ribosomal RNA", at positions 29 to 507 of the family's 1533-position model. The record is from RNAcentral.